Molecule: ribosomal RNA, 253 nt
Filed under: uncultured bacterium
Lineage: Bacteria
Description: partial 16S ribosomal RNA
Rfam family: Bacterial small subunit ribosomal RNA
Source: RNAcentral
UACGGAGGGUGCAAGCGUUAAUCGGAAUUACUGGGCGUAAAGCGUGCGUAGGCGGCUGGUUAAGUCAGAUGUGAAAGCCCCGGGCUUAACCUGGGAACUGCAUUUGAAACUGGCCAGCUAGAGUUGAGUAGAGGGGAGUGGAAUUUCAGGUGUAGCGGUGAAAUGCGUAGAUAUCUGAAGGAACACCAGUGGCGAAGGCGACUCCCUGGACUCAAACUGACGCUGAGGCGCGAAAGCGUGGGUAGCAAACAGG